GGUUAAGCGACUAAGCGUACACGGUGGAUGCCCUGGCAGUCAGAGGCGAUGAAGGACGUGCUAAUCUGCGAAAAGCGUCGGUAAGGUGAUAUGAACCGUUAUAACCGGCGAUGUCCGAAUGGGGAAACCCAGUGUGAUUCGUCACACUAUCGUUAACUGAAUACAUAGGUUAACGAGGCGCACCGGGGGAACUGAAACAUCUAAGUACCCCGAGGAAAAGAAACCAACCGAGAUUCCCCCAGUAGCGGCGAGCGAACGGGGAGCAGCCCAGAGUCUGAAUC
Molecule: ribosomal RNA, 281 nt
Filed under: Mycobacterium tuberculosis
Lineage: Bacteria; Bacillati; Actinomycetota; Actinomycetes; Mycobacteriales; Mycobacteriaceae
Description: partial 23S ribosomal RNA
Rfam family: Bacterial large subunit ribosomal RNA
Source: RNAcentral